GUCUUCGGCCAUGCCUCCCUGAACAAGCCCAAUCUCGUCUGAUCUCAGAAGCUAAGGAGGGUCAGGCCUGGUUAGUACUUGGAUGGGAGACCACCUAGAAGACCAGGUGCUGUAGGCG
RNAcentral lists this ribosomal RNA (118 nucleotides) under Pteropus alecto (black flying fox). The record is from RNAcentral. Lineage: Eukaryota; Metazoa; Chordata; Mammalia; Chiroptera; Pteropodidae.